CUUUUUUAAUUAGAUUAUAUUAUCAUUUAAAAACUAUAAUCAAAACACAAAUAUAUAAUUCCUCCGGUCACAUAGGCAUUUCAAAUUUUACUACAUGUGUAGUGAACAAAUUCCGGUGUCUUAAAAAAAAAUUAACAUUUUAGUCACUAUUAUAAGCAAAAGUUAAGUAAAUGCGAUUUAUAUUGAACAUAUUGAUUUAUGCAUGUUAAAUUUAUAUUAUUUUUUUAUUUUUUAUUUUUAAAUUUAAAAUAUAUUAAAAUGUUUUUUUUUUGUCAUAUUUUUCCCCGUGCUUGGCACGGGUCCG
RNAcentral lists this long non-coding RNA (304 nucleotides) under Trifolium pratense (red clover). Its description in RNAcentral is "long non-coding RNA (TPRA_LNC012718)". The record is from RNAcentral. Lineage: Eukaryota; Viridiplantae; Streptophyta; Magnoliopsida; Fabales; Fabaceae.